This 617-nucleotide ribosomal RNA is filed under the name Veronaea botryosa. RNAcentral's name for it is "eukaryotic LSU rRNA". It matches the Rfam family "Eukaryotic large subunit ribosomal RNA", at positions 38 to 667 of the family's 3401-position model. Lineage: Eukaryota; Fungi; Ascomycota; Eurotiomycetes; Chaetothyriales; Herpotrichiellaceae. The record is from RNAcentral.
GCAUAUCAAUAAGCGGAGGAAAAGAAACCAACAGGGAUUGCCUCAGUAACGGCGAGUGAAGCGGCAACAGCUCAAAUUUGAAAUCUGGCCUCUUUGGGGUCCGAGUUGUAAUUUGUAGAGGAUGUUUCGGGUACCGCCUCGGUUUAAAUUUCUUGGAACAGAAUGUCAAAGAGGGUGAGAAUCCCGUCUUGGACCGGCGGUAGGGCCCAUGUGAAACUCCUUCGACGAGUCGAGUUGUUUGGGAAUGCAGCUCAAAAUGGGUGGUAAAUUUCAUCUAAAGCUAAAUAUUGGCCAGAGACCGAUAGCGCACAAGUAGAGUGAUCGAAAGAUGAAAAGCACUUUGAAAAGAGAGUUAAACAGUAUGUGAAAUUGUUGAAAGGGAAGCGCUUACAACCAGACUUGAGCGCGGCGGUUCCCCCUUCCUUUUGGUUGGGUUACUCCGUCGUGUCCAGGCCAACAUCGGUUUCGGGGGUCGGUUAAAGACCUUGGGAAUGUAUCUACCCUUCGGGCGUAGACUUAUAGCCCAGGGUGUCAUGCGGCCUCCCGGGACCGAGGAACGCGCUUCGGCUCGGAUGUUGGCGUAAUGGUUGUCAGCGACCCGUCUUGAAACACGGACC